CCUACGGGAGGCAGCAGUGAGGAAUAUUGCCCAAUGGACGAAAGUCUGAGGCAGCAACGCCGCGUGAGCGAUGAAGGCCUUCGGGUUGUAAAGCUCUUUUCUGGGGGAAGAGGAAGGACGGUACCUCAGGAAUAAGUCACGGCUAACUACGUGCCAGCAGCCGCGGUAAUACGUAGGUGGCGAGCGUUAUCCGGAUUUACUGGGCGUAAAGCGCGUGUAGGCGGUUUCGUAAGUCGGAUGUGAAAGCUCCUGGCUCAACUGGGAGAGGCCAUUCGAUACUGCGGGACUUGAGGACGGGAGAGGGACGUGGAAUUCCCGGUGUAGUGGUGGAAUGCGUAGAUAUCGGGAGGAACACCAGUGGCGAAGGCGACGUCCUGGCCCGCACCUGACGCUAAGACGCGAAAGCGUGGGUAGCAAACGGGCUUAGAUACCCCGGUAGUCCACGCUGUAAACGGUGGAUACUAGGUGUUGGUGGCUAUCGUCAUCAGUGCCGUAGCUAACGCGUUAAGUAUCCCGCCUGGGGACUACGGCCGCAAGGUUAAAACUCAAAGGAAUU
RNAcentral lists this ribosomal RNA (556 nucleotides) under uncultured bacterium. RNAcentral describes it as "bacterial SSU rRNA". It matches the Rfam family "Bacterial small subunit ribosomal RNA", at positions 338 to 911 of the family's 1533-position model. The record is from RNAcentral.